This 301-nucleotide ribosomal RNA is filed under the name uncultured bacterium. Its description in RNAcentral is "partial 16S ribosomal RNA". It matches the Rfam family "Bacterial small subunit ribosomal RNA", at positions 509 to 807 of the family's 1533-position model. The record is from RNAcentral.
CAGCCGCCGCGGUAAUACGUAGGGCGCAAGCGUUGUCCGGAAUUAUUGGGCGUAAAGAGCUCGUAGGCGGUUUGUCGCGUCUGCUGUGAAAACGCGAGGCUCAACCUCGCGUCUGCAGUGGGUACGGGCAGACUAGAGUGUGGUAGGGGAGAUUGGAAUUCCUGGUGUAGCGGUGGAAUGCGCAGAUAUCAGGAGGAACACCGAUGGCGAAGGCAGAUCUCUGGGCCAUUACUGACGCUGAGGAGCGAAAGCGUGGGGAGCGAACAGGAUUAGAUACCCCAGUAGUCCCUGUCUCUUAUAC